This 253-nucleotide ribosomal RNA is filed under the name uncultured bacterium. RNAcentral describes it as "partial 16S ribosomal RNA". It matches the Rfam family "Bacterial small subunit ribosomal RNA", at positions 524 to 776 of the family's 1533-position model. The record is from RNAcentral.
UACAGAGGUCUCAAGCGUUGUUCGGAUUUAUUGGGCGCAAAGGGUGCGCAGGCUGUGUGGUAAGUUUGGUGUGAAAUCCUGGGGCUCAACCCCAGAAUUGCACUGAAUACUGCCAUGCUAGAGGACUGGAGAGGAGAUUGGAAUUCACGGUGUAGCAGUGAAAUGCGUAGAUAUCGUGAGGAAGACCAGUGGCGAAGGCGGAUCUCUGGAGAGUUCCUGACGCUGAGGCACGAAGGCCAGGGGAGCAAACGGG